This 253-nucleotide ribosomal RNA is filed under the name uncultured bacterium. RNAcentral's name for it is "partial 16S ribosomal RNA". It matches the Rfam family "Bacterial small subunit ribosomal RNA", at positions 524 to 776 of the family's 1533-position model. The record is from RNAcentral.
UACGUACCGUCCAAACGUUAUUCGGAAUUACUGGGCUUAAAGGGUAUGUAGGCGGCGCUGUUAGUCGGGUGUGAAAUCCCACGGCUCAACCGUGGAAUUGCGCCCGAUACUGCAGUGCUUGAGGGAGACAGAGGUAAGCGGAACUGAUGGUGGAGCGGUGAAAUGCGUUGAUAUCAUCAGGAACACCGGUGGCGAAAGCGGCUUACUGGGUCUCUUCUGACGCUGAGAUACGAAAGCCAGGGGAGCGAAGGGG